This 631-nucleotide ribosomal RNA is filed under the name uncultured Porphyromonadaceae bacterium. RNAcentral's name for it is "bacterial SSU rRNA". It matches the Rfam family "Bacterial small subunit ribosomal RNA", at positions 86 to 715 of the family's 1533-position model. Lineage: Bacteria; Pseudomonadati; Bacteroidota; Bacteroidia; Bacteroidales; Porphyromonadaceae. The record is from RNAcentral.
UGGUGGCGACCGGCGCACGGGUGAGUAACGCGUAUGCAACCCAUUUAUCAGAGGGGAAUAACCCGGCGAAAGUCGGACUAAUAUCGCAUAAAACAGGGACACCGCAUGGUGAUAUUUGUUAAAGAAAUUCGCUGAUAGAUGGGCAUGCGUUCCAUUAGGUAGUUGGUGAGGUAACGGCUCACCAAGCCGACGAUGGAUAGGGGAACUGAGAGGUUGGUCCCCCACACUGGUACUGAGACACGGACCAGACUCCUACGGGAGGCAGCAGUGAGGAAUAUUGGUCAAUGGGCGAGAGCCUGAACCAGCCAAGUCGCGUGAAGGAAGAAGGAUCUAUGGUUCGUAAACUUCUUUUGCAGGGGAAUAAAGUGCAGGACGUGUCCUGUUUUGUAUGUACCCUGAGAAUAAGGAUCGGCUAACUCCGUGCCAGCAGCCGCGGUAAUACGGAGGAUCCGAGCGUUAUCCGGAUUUAUUGGGUUUAAAGGGUGCGUAGGUGGUUUGAUAAGUCAGCGGUGAAAGUUUGCAGCUUAACUGUAAAAAUGCCGUUGAAACUGUCGGACUUGAGUGUAAAUGAGGUAGGCGGAAUGCGUGGUGUAGCGGUGAAAUGCUUAGAUAUCACGAAGAACUCCGAUUG